UGAGGUAGGAGGUUGUAUAGUUGAGGAGGACACCCGAGGAGAUGACUAUACGGCCUCCUAGCUUUCC
RNAcentral lists this microRNA precursor (67 nucleotides) under Oryctolagus cuniculus (rabbit). RNAcentral describes it as "Ocu-Let-7-P1b_pre stem-loop". Lineage: Eukaryota; Metazoa; Chordata; Mammalia; Lagomorpha; Leporidae. The record is from RNAcentral.